UCUUAUCAAGAGUGGCGGAGGGACUGGCCCUAUGAAGCCCAGCAACCGAUAUAUUGAUUCAUUUAUCAUGUUAUACGGUGCUAAUUCCUGCAGCUUUUUUAAGCUGGUAGAUGAGA
RNAcentral lists this non-coding RNA (116 nucleotides) under uncultured Clostridium sp. RNAcentral's name for it is "SAM riboswitch (S box leader)". It matches the Rfam family "SAM riboswitch aptamer (S box leader)". Rfam says of the family: The SAM riboswitch is found upstream of a number of genes which code for proteins involved in methionine or cysteine biosynthesis in Gram-positive bacteria. The SAM riboswitch acts at the level of transcription termination control. The predicted structure consists of a complex stem-loop region followed by a single stem loop terminator region. Lineage: Bacteria; Bacillati; Bacillota; Clostridia; Eubacteriales; Clostridiaceae. The record is from RNAcentral.